This 19205-nucleotide long non-coding RNA is filed under the name Prunus persica (peach). Its description in RNAcentral is "long non-coding RNA (PPER_LNC007423)". The record is from RNAcentral. Lineage: Eukaryota; Viridiplantae; Streptophyta; Magnoliopsida; Rosales; Rosaceae.
UUUGACAUCAAGUUGCUCAGCGUCAAAGUUGACGCUAGAAAAAAGUGAUGGCAAAUGGUUAUUUGUAAUACCUUCUUUAAUGACGGUGUGUAAUAGUACUAACAUAUCCUAAAUCAUUUCUAAGAAUAUUUCUCAGCAAUGUUUUGGAGGUGGAAGAAGAGCUUCAAUGGUCUAGAGAUCAUGACCAGGUGAUCAGAAUCGCUAAUCACUUUCACUUCAUCUGGUGGAUUGUUCCUGAUAAUGUAAUUCUGCACAUCCAACACUAUUGCCUGGUCUUGCCCAGACACAAUGAAUACUCUACGAACCGAUCCAUAUUUCUCCUUGGUGAGCUUUAUUACAUCAUAAUUGAAGAGAGGAGAAAAUCUUAUCAAAGAGGACACUAGCGUUUUAUCCUGUCCAUUAAUAUGUCACCAAACAAAAUGUCAAAAACAACAAGAGAAAAAAAAAAAGGGAAAAAGAAAUUAAAGUAGCAGCAACGUGGAAAGAAAUCUGCCCAUGGCCUACUUAGGCCCAUUAUUCUUCCUCCACCCUUCACCUCUUUCUCCAUUUUCAAAGACAGAUGAUUUUUCCUAUUUGUCUUCGUUUUGUUAUGAUUUUCGUCCAACCAUCACAGACUACUGCGUCUCGACAUUGGAUCUGUGUAGUUUUUACCUCUCCUCUUUUGUGAGAGUUUUUCAUCUCAAUUGUGAGAGUUUUAUUUGUAUUUUUAUGAAUUGGUUUUUUCAAGCUUUAUCUCUUUUUGUAAUUUUAGUUAGGAUGCCUAUGCCAGAGUUUCUUCGAUCUUGCGUGAUCGUUAGUAGAGGUGCACUAGAUUGUCUUAAUUUUGAUGUUAGACCGCUCUGUUAUUGUAAUGACCAUUUUGUGCCUAGUUUGUAUUAGUAUUUUGUGGCUAGUGACUUUUUUGGCUAAAUUAUGAAUGCAAUCAUAGAAUUUCUCACCAAAAAAAAAAAAAAGGUAGAAAUGUGAUCUCAGAUUCGAAUCCCCAUAAUACCUUAGUAAUGUGUUUAAUAAACCACAUUCUCCUUGUAGGUUAGACUAUUGCUUGUAUUAAAAAAAAAAAAAAGUAUAAUUUUUGAAUUAUUUUUGAGACAACUCACCUGUGCUGGGGAGAGCUGGUAAAACUUCAACGCCAAGGCCUUAGGCCCAAUAAGAAAGGAAGUUGGAGGGUUGUUGGUCCCAUUAUCGUAUCUAUAUUGAGUGUCCAAAUAGUCCAAUCUUUUAUUAACCUGUACAUUUUUCGAAAAUAUAAUUUGUUAAUAAAUAUACACAAUGGAUUUUGGUGCUGCAACUUUGGUGUGUGCUUGUGAACUCAUUACCUCUGUCAAUAUAGUCGAGUAAUUGAGAGUAGGACCAGACAUGAAAGCCGUGACGUAUACUGCAGCAGCAAUUUUCUCAGGAAAUCUCUCCAUGAAAGUAGAUAUGACUGCCCCACCCAUGCUGUGACCUACGAGGAUGAUCCUGUCCUUUGGUGGAAGAGACACCAUGAGCUUUGUCAAUGGCUCAACAUAUUGCGAGAUCGAACGAAGUUGUUGUAUCUGAAUGGGGUUGAUCCCAGAUGCUCCCAAGUCUAGGGCUGUGACAUUGUGGCCUGAAUCUUUGAGUAAAGUUGCCACCUUAUACCAAGACCAUGCUCCUAGACCAGCUCCAUGAAUCAACACAAAAUGCUUCUUCCCACUUGGGCUAGUUUGGGUUUGGUUUUGAGGGUAAUUAGAUGGCAAUGAGGUACAAAUUUUUGCCAAGCAAAUAAGUAAGAGACAAAAGAGAAAAGACUUGUUUUUCAAGUGCUCCAUUUUCCUUCUCAUUACCAUCUCCUUCCUUGGGUUUGCAUUUAUAGGAAAUAUCCUUCUUCACUAUACAAUUGGUCCCUUCACCCAAUUCGGCAUUUGAAAACGACUGAGUAAUAAUUAGGGUUCAGAAGAUUUGAGGUGUAGACUAAUAAACUUCCACGUUGCAAGCAAAGUCUUUAUUUCUAUUUACAUUUUUGGUCAAGGAGUAAACAUAUAAAUUUCCAAUCCGCAUAAUAAUAAUAAAAAAUUAUUCAACGUGCUCAUUGCCUGGACUUUUUGUACAGAAUUUGUUUCGUACACAACAUAUAUAUCUUGGAAAAUUAUUUCUUUCUAGUAGUUGCGCCCAUGGCCUUUCAAAAUGUCAUUGAGAGGCUAGCCGCUAUAUAUCGGGCUUAGACUUUUAUUGUGCUUUAUUUAUUUAUUUUCAAUUUAUCUUUUGAUGUUCAAAUUUUUUUUCUUAAAAACAAAAUAAUUGUAGGUAUAAUUCGUAUUAAGUUUUGUUGUGGUUUUUUUUUGUUAACAUACUUGUAUCCUAUCGAGUUUAUUGAAAAAAAAAAAAAAAAUCAGACAUGAUAUAUUUUCUUUAUUUAUAACCAUAAAUAAUAUAUUUUAAACCUCUGUAUGAAAUCCUUCCUACGGAGGGGAGGCCAGCGCCAGAGUAAUCAUGACUUUGGUUUACACUCAAAAGUCCUCUCAAAUCCACAAAACUCCAUCAUCUAAUAAAUUCUAGGGUUAAUCGUUUUAUUAGUCCUUAAAUUUAGAUCCGAUUUGCAUUUGAGUACCUCAAUUUUCAAAAUGGUUCCCGUGGUUCGUCAACUUCAAUUUCGUUAGGACAAAUGGUCAUAUCCUAACAAAAUUAACGACAGAACCAUUUAAUGUAUUCAUUCAUUAAUAAUUUCUCAACACAGUACAUUGAUGGUUUUUAUGCUAGCUUUGUUAAAACUUUGUGUACACGUUUUCUAACCUCUUAACCUUUGACUUCUUUAACAAAACACUAACUGUUUUGCCUAAACUGCCUAACAAUCUUAACAAUAUUUCAACAACUCUUUUCUUCAAUCUUCUAACAUGUGGCAGCAUUAGAACUGUUGAUAAACUAACUAAUAAACUUCCACGUUGCAAGCGAAGUCUUUAUUUCUACCUACAUUUCUGUUUACUCCUUGACCAAAAAUGUAUAUAGAAAUAAAGACUUCGCUUGCAACGUGGAAGUUUAUUAGUCUACACCUCAAAUCUUCUGAACCCUAAUUAUUACUCCGUCGUUUUCAAAUGCCGAAUUGGGUGAAGGGACCAAUUGUAUAGUGAAGAAGGAUAUUUCCUAUAAACGCAAACCCAAGGAAGGAGAUGGUAAUGAGAAGGAAAAUGGAGCACUUGAAAAACAAGCCUUUUCUCUUUUAUCUCUUACUUAUUUGCUUUACAAAAAUUUGUAACUCAUCGCCAUCGCCGCCACCUCCUAAUAACCCUCAAAACCAAAGCCAAACUAGCCCAAGUGGGAAGAAGCAUUUUGUGUUGAUUCAUGGGAGCAUGGUCUUGGUAUAAGGUGGCAACUUCACUCGGCUUGCAUUUUUCUAUUCAAAAGUAUCAAUUAAUUUUACAUAAUCAAGUUUUUUUUAUCUUGUCCUUUUCAAUUUCCUAAUUGAUUCAACUAGGUUAAUUGAUUUAAGCUAUAAUUUUAAAAAAUAAUUGGGUCAUUAUUGAGUUUUCUCUUUUUAAUUUUGAAUUGAGUAAUUGGGCAAAGUUUUUUUUUUGUUUGUUUACAAUGAAUGGACCUUUAUUGAGUUUCCUCUUUUUAAUUUUAAAUUGAAUAAUUAAGUAAUUUUUUUAUAUUACAAUAAUUAGUUUGCGCCUAACAUAAUAUUUAUAUAAUAUAGUUUUUUAAAAAUAAUAUUGGUUUGGGCCUAAUUUGGGGACCAUAGGCAAUUGUCUUGCCUGCUUGUGCCAAUGGCCUUUCAAAAUAAUAUUGGUUUGGGCAUAAGAGGCUAGCUGCUAUAUCGCUUAGACCUUUAUUGUGCUUUAUUUAUUUAUUUUCAUUUAUUUUCUUCUAAAAACAAAAUAAAUGUAGGUACAAUUCAACGUAACAUGAACACAUGAUGUUACACUCCACUCAAAUUUUAACAUUUAAAUUAAUUGCACCACAUAAUGAUAUUACAAUACCAUAUAAUAAUUUCCCAAAAUUGAGGAAUCUCACAAUCAUAUAACUUAUUACUUUUUCUCAUUAGAAAAUGAAAUACAAGAUUUACAUGGAGUACUUUAUGUCAUGUUAACAAGACCCUAGUGUUAAAUCAUGUCCAUUAAAACAUCAUCAAACAAAGGAAAAGCAGUAGCAAGGCAACUCUAAGCUGGAUUGAGACUCACCUCCGGUGGUGAGAGCUGGUAUAACUUUAUUGCCAAGGCCUUGGGCCCAAAAAGAAAGGACGUUGGAGUAUCUAUAUUGAGUGUCCAAGUCGUCCAAUCUUUUACCAACCUGUACAUUUUAGUUGCAAAGACAUUUUAGAAAAACCAAUUCAAAUUUAACAGCAAUUUUCUCAGGAAACCUCUCCAGGAAAAUAGAUAGGACAACCCCACUCAAGCUGUGAGCUACAAUGACGACCUUCUCCUUUGGCGGCAAAGAGGGACGGAGCCAGCAUGGGAUCAGUGUGGUCUUAGGCCCUCACUCUAUUUUUACCUAUUCUAUUUGUAUAUUAUAUAUGAUAUAUAAUAUUAUAAUAUGUUAGAUUAGUUUUAGGAUAUUUACCCUAAAAUAAAAUAAUAUAUUAGGUUCUUUUAGUCUACAAAUUAACCAUAAAUUUUUUUGAUCUCUCUUCUACUCGUUUCCCUUAAAUCUUAUAGGUUAGUUUAAGACAUUUGCACUAAAAACUCCUAAAGUUUUAACCUUUCUUCUUCUUCCUCUUUUGUUUUAAGCUUUGUGAAUUUUUUAGUUUCCUCAUUUUUUUGUGUAUGAGUUGGGUACCUUAAUAUUGUGCUUUAUGAACUCUUUAUUUUUCUAUUUCUUUUCUUUGUUGAAAUAUAAAAUUUUAAUUUUUAAAUCUUUAAUAGUGUAGAUGAUGAAAUUAGUAUGUAACCAAUUUAAAAUAUGAAAUUCAUGAUAAUUAUAAAGAGAAGACAAGUUUUUUAAAGGUCCCCUCUAAUGUGAAAUCUUGGCUCCACCACCAGGCAAAGACAUGAGCUUCGUCAAUGGCUUGACAUAUUCCGACAGCAAAGGGAGUUGUUGUAUCUGAAUUGGGUUAAUGCCAGAUGCUCCCAAGUCGGGCUGUGCAUUGUGACUUGAAUAUUUGGGCAGAGUUGUCACCUUAUACCAAGACCGUGCUCCCUAACAAUCUCCAUGGAUCAACACAAAAUGCUUCUUCCCAGUUUGGCUAAUUUGCGAUGAGGUACAAAUAUUUGCCAAGCAAAAAGGUAAAAGAAAGAACAGAAAAGACUUGGUUUUGAUGUGCUCCAUUUUCCUUCCUUUGGUUUGCAUUUGCUCUCGUCUUACUUUUCAUAGAUACUAUCCUUGUUCACUAUAAUUGGUCCCCUCACCCAAUUUGCCAUUUGAAAAUGACGAGAGAAUAAGUAGAGCACCAUCAAUAAUUAAUUGGUCCCCUACCAAAUUUGGCAUUUGAAAGAUUUGAUGUGUAGAUUAGAUCACUGUAUUCCACCUAAUUCGUAUACUUUCGGAAAAUCAUUUAAGUGCCUAACAGAUAAUCACAUAAAAAUGCUUCAAUACAUUCUUAGUAUAAGCAAGAAUCUCGUUGGCAUAAUGCUCAAUCUUUAGGCCGAGAUAAAUAUUUAUUGAACUCUUCAAGAGUUUUAACCAAGUAUUAACUCUUCUGGAGUUUUGAUCAAUUAUCAACUCUUCAGGAGUUGUAAUGUGUUGCAACCAUAUCAUAAUUAAUGUACUCACUGAGGCAAUUUAUACAUAUUAGUAUUGAGUACAAAAUUUGUGCUUCAGGCACAUGUCGUUUAGGUACUUGCUUUAUGCAAUUUCAAUCAUUCAAGGAUUUUAUUUGAGGGAUUACACUUUAUGACACAUUAUAAAGCUUUAACCCAACUAUUUAUACAUCUUUAGGGAAUCGCUUCUAGCAAUAUGCUCUGUACAUUUAAUAACCCUUAAAGAUAACAUGUUGGUCUUUGUAAAUGUGCAAUAAGGAGGCAAGAUUGCAUCUGUAAAUAUGGAGAAACUCAAUAUUCCUUGUUUCUGCCAAAAACAUUGUGUCAUACAAAGUGGGUAUAUUCCUUUUUAUUCCGAACACCCAAGUAUAUGUGAGAAUCCUUAUUUUUAAAAAUAUUAAUAUUUUAUUACUUUGAUAAGUAUUAAAAUAUAAUUAUAAUUGUUAUAUAUAUAGUUUUACGUAAGAAAUAUUUAUCUGAUUCUACUACAUAUAUCCUAUUCUAUUAUAUAUGUGUGUGUAUAUAUAUACAGAGAGCUUCCAUUGAGGGAUCCCUCAAAUAAUUUUAUUUGAGGGACACCCUUUAGGGUACCCUACAAUUCUUUUCCCAAUAAUCCAAACCAUCUAUUUUUUAGGUAUUCAUUCAUAGAUCAUCCUUACAAAAAAUUAGACAAAUCGGAAACCGUUUCGACAUCCAAUUGUGUCUUACAAAAUCAAUGAACACGGUGCUUUAAGAAAAGUACUAAAAUUUCAAUAACUCAAUUGAGUGGUCACAUGAUAUCGGAUUCAAGUGAUUUUUUGUAGAGAUGAUCUUUGAAUGAGUAUCUACAAAAUAGACGUUUGGAUUAGUGAAAUACAAUCCGGAGUGAGGCCUACAAGGGGUGUCCCUCAAAUAAGCUUAUUUGAGGGAUCCCUCAAUGGAAGCUCUCUGAUAUAUAUAUAUACUUUACUUGGGUAAAAAGUACAUAAACCGCCAAUGGUAGCCGACCUAUCCUUUAUACAUAUAUGUUAUGUUGUAUUUGAAUUAAGAUUAAGUAGCAAGUAAAGUUAAAGUAGCCUUUUACUACUAGCUGACAUCAGUUUAGCAUAAGGAGGCAAGUUAGUUUUCAUUUUAUCAACACCUGCAUCCACAUGCAAGUAUAAAAACAUUAAAUAGAGUAGAUAUUCUUCCCUGGAGAAUAAGUAGGCAAGUUCUCCUUUUUGUUUAAACCUAUCCAUAGUGGUUGCCAAAUAAGCACUAGUAAGAACCGACAUUCUCUAAGUAUAAAUAGGCCCUCUAUUGUUGUUGAAAACACUAGAUAAUAACCUUGUGUAAUAUUAGAGGUUACACACAGGUAGGGUUUCUUAGAGGGCCUAUUACACAGAGAUUGAUUUAAUUAAAUUUCGUGAGCAUUAUAUUAUGCGUGGUACUGUUUGAUUGACGUUCCUUGUAUUGAGUGUUUACGUACUCUUAAUAUUUGAACAAUGUUGGCAUAAUUAUAUAUGCAUUGGUGAUAUUUUAAAUGGCUACAUUGUUGUGAAGGGCAUAAUUAUAUCAUGUCAUGGAAUUUGGCUAGAAUUCUGGGAUUGAGAAAAUAAUGGUGGAAAAGAGGGUAAUGGAAAUAAUCUUUUGUGUAGUUGAGUCUAACUCUUGGCAUGUACCAGGUCUCAGGGAUCCCACAGUGCACAUGGUUUUUAUUGGGUGAUUCGGGAGUGGCGACAGGGAGUUAGACAAGAUGACUUACAAAAUGGGGAAUUAUGGGAUGAUUAAGAUGGGUGUUAAUUCAUAUAAAUGGACAUUCGGGACCAAGUGGUAUAAGCCUGGUAUGGGACGUGUAGGUCUGCUUGUCUAGUUAUAUGAAUUAACGGGAUUAGAUGUAGAGCAUUCAUGCAUUAUUAUUAAUAAUGUGAUAUUUGGUUGUAUAAUUGUAUGUCACUUAAUUUAGUUAUAUCAAUUUCCUGUAAAAAAAAAGGUUUAUGUCCCUAUUGAGCUGUGGUUUUGCUCACCCCUAAUAGAUUUUGUAGGUACCGAACCUGAAAUCUAGAGCUUGUGAUGAUUUGGGCAUAUCUAUAGAGUGCAUUAUGUACAUAGCUUGUGGAUGAAUAAUGAGCUAUUCUUUUAGUGAACUCUCGAGUAGUUCUAACUUGUAAAAUAAUGUAAUUUUUUUAAGGUUUCAGAUGUUGUCAUUUCCACUGAAUAUUCUAUGUGAAAUAUUUAUUUUAUUUAUUUAAAUGUUUCUUCACAUUUUAGUUAUAGUUUUUAUUAAAAUCUAUAAUUAAGGUGUGAAUCACGUCUUAACCCAAGGUUGGGGCGUGACAAUAUAACUUUCAGUAUUAACAUCUUUUGAGGUUCGUACUAUGAGUUUGUUCUUUCACGUUCAUUCUCGUCUACAAUGGAAUUGCCUCUUUCCAUUUUGGCCAAUGAUAUUGUCGACAUUUAAUAAUAGAAUGUGGUUCCAAUCAACACAGCCCAUUGAUGAUUUGAGUAGCUACUCCAAAAUCAAAAAAAUUGUCAUUCAUCAAUUCAUGAUCCCACCAUUCUCAUGCGCAUGCAUAAAUUAUAAGUAUUUAUGUGCUUUUGGGUAUCCAAGCCACUUCAGGGGAUUUUAUUGUCUCUUUCCAGCCAGACAUCUCUUAUAGGACGAAUUAUGUGAGAAUGUGGAUCAUAACCUCUAGUGGAGCGUUAUUUUGCAGUGGGCGGUGGAUGAGUCCAUUCAGGGAGUUGGAACAUUUAGAACUCAUUUAUCUGCAUGUUGCAGGCAUGCCACAAAUUAAUAUACACAUGUCAAUGAAUUGUUCUUCUAGGACUUUAAACCAGAUAAUUUGCUAAACAUUAGGCGUGCACCGUAUUAAUAUUGACAUGUAAAUGGAUUGUCCUUCCGGGAUUUCAAUCCAUAUCAUUUGCUACACAACAGGCGUGCAUCAUAUUGAUCACUGCUAUACCCAUGUUCUAUUCUUAUGGGACUUUAAUCUAUGCAGUGUAUCAUUAAUGUAUCGAACUUGCAAUCUGUGAGAUUUGCAUUAAUAAUUCAUGAAUACAUAUUAGAAUGAUACAAGCAAUUCUUUUGGAAUGGUCAUAAUACAGGUCGUUCUUCUAGAACGAUCUAUUAAGCAAGUCAUUCUUCUGGAAUUGCCUUAUCUCCCCAUUUGGUUACCUUUAAGGAUGUCGUACAAAAUAUCAAAAUAAGAGUACAAGCAUGAAAUAACACAAUUAGUGCUUACAUCCUUAGGUGGGAGAAACUUUGCUUAAGUAUCAUUCAAGCUUGUAUCGGCCCAACAAAUAUAAUGUAACUCUUGAUGAUCUAGUUAUAUCCUGCAAGAGCAAAAAUCACAAUUCUUCUAUCUUUAGGAUCACUACAUGGAUUCUUUCUUCAGAUGUUCGUUCCAAAGAAAUCAAAUCCCUUAUGAAUAGAGAGUUAUAAAAAGAAAAAAAAGAUACAAAGAAUUGUGAUAUUGAUUGCAAGGUAAGGUAAGCAAUCAAGGAAGGAAGCUGGUGAGGUAACAGACAAAAACUCUUAUUUCUCUUAGCCUAGAAGAGUUUUAGGAGAUCAGAGCAUGUGGUCAUCCUUAGAGUUCCCUGAUCUAGCAGAAAUAUGAUCACGGAUAGUCUUGCUUCCUGAAUGGAUGAUCAGAGAUAGUCUCACUUCUCAAGCACAUCGAGUGCUCACUGAUAGGAAAAAUAGGUGGAUAUUGCACACUAGAUAUGGAGAAAACUGGAGAAAACUAGAUGUAUUAUGCAAAGAAAAUUUCGUUAGUAACAUAUUUAUACAUAAAUGAGAAGAAUAGUUAGGUCCAGUGAAUCUCAAAUUAACUAUAGAAAAUUUGCGAGAUUCUCAGGGUGCUUUUGAAAAGUAGCUCCGUUAAAUCCGCAAAACAAGAUCGGCUUUGACGAAAUAAUUCUUGAAAAUGCCUACACUGCCGACAGACAUUAAUGGAGGCCCCAUGAAGUUUUGGAGUCUGGGAAAAGGAAAAAGAGAAUAUGGGGAUCCGAGAACAUAUUGGGAUCCUGAAAAUGGUGCCACAUUUUCGUUUAUAGAUACUGCCUUUGCAAGGCCUAAUUGGAGUAACUGCGUUUCAACUCAACUUCUCCAUUUUUUGAAAUACAGCUUUUCGAAGACUUUCCUCGAAACCUUCUAAAAAUGGCUCCCCCAAAGCAUAUUGAUUUGAAUGUUGCUCCCAAAACAACUUGUGACGCCAAAGUUUGGCAUCCAUCCUUUGUAUCCCAAAAUCGUCAUCUCACGGUUAAUGAUUUUGUGAUGAUGAAUGAUACGACUGCUGUCAUAGUAGCUAGGAAUUUCCUUACUCCUAUAGAUGAAAUUCUAUUAACAGGAAGGCCUGACGAAUAGGCUAUUGAUGACAAUGGCUUUUAGCAUUCAAAGUGUUGCUUCUGUUUCUAAUAUGGCUGAUCAUUUGCGUGCCAGAGCAAAUGAGAUUCGGGAGUUGAACAUUGAAAAUUCGUCUCUUCAGAGAAUGCUUCAUAGGUCUCAGCAGGAGGCUGAGAAACUUAAAGAGGAAAAUAAGGCCUUGUUGAAACUGGUGAGUUCAUACUCCAUUGAUACGCAUACAAGGCUUGACAUGCUGCAGAUUUCCAAUGAAAAAAUUUUAGGAGACCACGAGAGGCUCAUGGCUAAGCUUAAGAGGCAUCGUCCUCUACCUUCAGAGGCUUCCUGAACAUAAUGUAAUUUUAUAAAUUUUACAAAGGCUGCUUUUCCUUGCAGGUGAAAAGAAUCUAUCUAUUGUAUGCUCAUUUCCUAUUAUAAUAAUUGGGCAAAUUCUUAAACUUGCACCUUUGGUUUUCACGUCUUUUCAAAAUGACGGUUUGGAAUCUUGUGCCUUAUAGGUUCAAAUAAACACAUCAAAUAUCUCAAAUUACAUAUUUCAACGCAUGUGAGUCCGGAACUUCUGGCCCGGGCUAAACACAACCUCAGAAUUUAUUUACCUUUUUCAAAUAGGCAUGAAAUAUGAAUUGAGGAAAAGUCAUGAUAUUAUUGCAAUAUAAUAGUGAAGAGCAUUAACUAAUAUAUACCCAAAACUUCAGGUUCGGGACUUUUCAUAUAUUGGGAUCCAUGGGCUUUCGGCCCUAAUCAAAUAAUAUGACAAAAUAUGUGGGGAGCCUCAAUUCAUCCUUUGAGGUUUAUCCUGAUGUCAUUCAAUGGAAUUCAGAACAUAUAUUUCUUCCUUGAGGUGUCAGUUGUAACAUAAUCGAACUUUAUUAAAUUCCUUAUUUUCUUAUGCCAAAGAAAUAUGUGGUGUACCACAAUUUGCAAUAAUACCUCAAGGGUUGUCUAUUUAAUUAUUGAAACUUCAGGUUCUCAAUACUGUUAGAUUUUGAAUUCCAGGCCAAAAUCACAUAUUCUCAUGACAUGGACAUUUUUAUAAUUUCCCGUACAUAUUUCGGGACUUCAGACCCUUACAUAAGUGUCCAUAUUUUUGAGGAAUUUUUGACAUCUCAUUUAAUUGUUCAUCCAUGAGUUUAAGGAACUGCAGGUUCCCUUUUGUAUAUAGUUACGAUUUACCCAAAAUGGUUAAUAUUUAUGCAUACGUCACUAUUCAUGUAUACGAUACUAUUCAUCAAGUCAUGAAUACUUCUACUCAUGUGUACAGUACAUUUGUCAGUAUAGUUAUUAUUCAUGUGUACGGCACUUUUGACCAAUACGGUAUUGUUACAUCAUCGAGGAACUCCAGGUUCUUAUUUACAUGUCAAGGAUCAAGGAUCUUCAGGUCCGAUCACUUGUUUACAAAUAUAGUACCGGAGAGAUUGCCAGCUGUCAUAUCAUUAUCAUCAUCAAGGAUCUUUAGGUCCUGAUGUAAUUAUAUGAUAAGGAUCAAGGAACUUCUGGUCAUGAUCUUUAUAUGCUGUAAAAACUCAUCAUAUCACAUAAUUAAUGUAACACCCCGACCCCAAAUUUCCCCAAAUUUAAUCCUUAUUUAAUUAUUUAAUUAUUUAAGGGUAUUUUAGUCAUAUUUUUAACCGGAGAGAGUUUGGGACCGCGACUUGUAUUUUUGGAUAGGUCGUACUGAGACGAGUUCACAGACACGUAGUGGGCUCGAAUCGGAGUUGUAACGAGAGAGAUAUGGUCAAAAGAAGCCCAGUGGCAUAAUCGUAAAUAUUUCGAAAUGGGAUUUUUUAUAAAAUCUGGUUUUCCUCUCUCUCUCUCUCUCUCUCUCUCUCUCUCUCUCUCUCUCUCUCUCUCUCCCGCGACUCCUCUCUCUCUCUCUCCCGUCGGCCUCUCCUCUCCUCUCUCUCUCUUCGUAACUCCGGCCACCGGCCGCGGCUGCGGACGGGGCCGGUGUCAAAAGAACCGGCUCGACCUCGGCGUCACGACUCAGCCCAUCCCCGCCAUCGGCCGCCGCUCCAGCAGCCGGAAAAUGGCGAUUUUCGCCCGGAGGUCGCCGGAACUUCAACGCCGUCGAUCUCCCUCCUCCGGCCACCAAUUCCGUCGACCCAGGUAUGGAUUUUGAACCUCUCGAGCUGCUCUAGCUGAUGGUUGGGUAGGAUUAGAUCGAUUCUUAGCGUAGGCAACUCAAUUUUCGAAUUGAAAAUCGGCCAAAACUUCGACCGCCGUGAUCGGCCAUUUCCGGCCACUUUUUGGGGUAGGUCCAAGAACAAAAGUGGCUCCAAAUAGGGUGUUAUACCUAGGGUAGGAGUUUGGAGCCGUGGUUUUGAGAUUUUCCGGCGAAGCGUUAUCGCUUUGGGCACCCACGCGCUGCCGGCGUGUGCGGUGGCGCGUGGGCACUGUAGAAAAGUAGCACUGUGUUCCGAUGAGAUUCUUAGGUUGUCACGAGUGUGUAGGAUUUCGCGGAUCUCAAUUCGGACGUCGUUUGACUAUCGAACGGAUAUUCGCAUAUUGCGCGUUAUCCGGGUUCGAUAGGUUGGGAUAGUUGGAUGGUCCCAAAUUUAAUAUAUGUUGAUCUAGAUAUUUCUAGGAUCGUGUAGGAUUUUACGGAUCGUGAAUCGGAGCCCCGGAUGUUCCGAAUAAUAAUUUUAAAGUUUAUAUUUUAUAUUAACCGUCAGAUCGUGCGAUCGUGAGAAAUCCGACCGUCCGAUCUGAACCAAACUUGCAGGACAAGUGUCCUAUACCUGGUAGAACCCAUAGAGACUUUCGGAUCGAAAAUUGGAGGUCGUGGGUUCUGCAGGUCCGGUUGACCAGGGUUAGAGUAGUUUGACCCUUGGUUGACCGUUAGUCUCCCGGAGUAAUCUCACCUUUUUAAGGGGGGAUUAUCGGGUGCUAGACCAUUGUGGAGGAUUACACAAUAUUAGAAUUUAUUUAUAUAAUAAUAAUAAUUUAUGGUUGUACAAGGGUACAACAGAGUCUAGAAUGUCAGUUUGGAGUGCUAUACGCACUACUUUAGAUACCUCCCCGGAUGUUGGAAUUACUACAAAUACCACCAAGUGAAAGUUAGGUCCCACGUGGCGUAGGUUAUCCGGUGUUGGGACAGGCCCCAUACGUGGCGUUGGUUGUACCGGCGUAUGGGGAGAGAUGUGAUAUGUUGUUCAGGUCUCACGUGGCGUAGGUUAUCCGGCGUUGAGACAGGCCCCGUACGUGGCGUUGGUUGUACCGGCGUACGGGGAGAUUAUGUGAUAUUGUGUUGAGGUCGCACGUGGCGUAGGUUAUCCGGCGUGUCGACAGACCCCAUACGUGGCGUUGGUUGUACCGGCGUAUGGGGAGAUUUGCGAUAUGAUGUUGAGGUCCUGCGUGGCGUAGGUUAUCCGGCGUUGGGACAGGCCCCAUACGUGGCGUUGGUUGUAUCGGCGUAUGGGGAGAUAUGAUGAUAAUAUGGCAUGGUCGCACGUGGCAUAGGUUAUCCGGCGUGUUGACAGGCCCCAUACGUGGCGUUGGUUGUACCGGCGUAUGGGGAGAUUAUAUGUAAUACAAAGAAAUGAAAUAAGGUAUCGCCCAAGUGUGGAAUUGAGUUUUUAGGGAAGAACUAUGUGUGGCUUGAUCCCUCAAGGAGGGUACGUAGGCAGCCUAAGGUUAUUAGGUGCAGCCGCAGACUAAAUGUUAGUUAUAAUUUGUAUUUGAAUUGUUUGGUAGUUGGUUAAGAAUUAUUGGAAGGCUGAAAGCCAUUUGUGUGAAUUGCAUGAAAUUAUAUUGUGCAUGCUGCCAGUUGGGAAUAUUAAAUGUGUUUUCAUGCAGGUAUAAAUUUUGGGAAAUGUCCAAUUUAUAGGGGAGACUCUGCCGAAAUUUCGGCAGGAAGUCUCGGUUUUUAGUAAGUGGGCCUGGCAUCGGGGUGAUGUCAGGAAUUCUAAAGGGUUCGUCUCGGGUUUUGAGAAAAUUCGGGGCGGGUCCUUUCAGUUGGUAUCAGAGCUCUAGGUUCAAUUCCCUGUGGACCCUGCACUUUAUGUGCAUCCUUAAAUUGUGGGGAUCAAAAUGGGUUCCAUCUCGGAAUGGUACAUUUGCGACGUUGAGAACGUCACAAAAGUCAAAUUAUUUCACAGAGGAAAGAUACAUAGGCCGCCGGAACAUAGGAAGGGCUGGAGCUUUACCACAGACAGUGGUUGUUUCAGAUGUUCCGGAAGAUUGCGACUAGAAGCCGAAAGUUUGCAUAGGGUAACACCUGUACUUAGGGUACAGUUGGAUGUUCCUAUGACAAAGUUGGUCAUGCGUCCGCAUAAGCGGGAGGAUAUGGAGUUGAUCAACCUGCUUCUAGGGAUCCUCCAUUGCCUGAACAUGUUGCUAAUUUUCGACUGUGUGCCUAGAGCACCGAGUCGAAGAUACUAAGAGCACAACCUUUGUCUAGGAGGAGCAACUCCUUGACAUUGGAUCAAGAGAUCCAAGAUUUGAAAGGUGGCGUUAGAAUAAUCGAAAUCACAAGUGUCUCUUACAGAAAGAGGCUCGUGUGUGGUAGGAAUACUGUGGUCAAAUCCAAGGAUGAGACCCAGAUGGAUUGAGUAAUCCUACCUAUGGAGAUGGAGAGAGUACUUUGGGGUCUCUUCUCACGUGAGCACGUUUGAGUAGAGAUCUUUCAUUGGAAUCAGAAAUGGAUCAUGGUCGAGAGAGAUCGACGAUGAGUACAAUUCGGUAACAAUGAUCCUUUCUGACAUUUCUCUCAAAGAAUCAUGUUGGCAAAUUAAAGGGAGAAGUGGUGGAGUUGGGUGGAAUCGUACUUCAUUCGCGUGAGCUUGAAUGCCGCGAUUGACAGGAGUGGAACAUUAGGGUUCUUCCUCCUUGCUCUCUCACGCGAGCUCGCCAUAGUUAGAGAAGGAGACUUCUCUUGCUCUGUUUGCGUAGCUAGAGCUUUUGGCUUGGUUGCCAACGCGGUUGUGGAGAAAGAAUUUGGGGAACCCGAGUGGUAGAUGCGGGCCCCAUGCGCACAACCCUUCGAGUGAUAGGUAGGAAAUUUCGAGGACGAAAUUUUUAUAAGGGGGGUAGUCUGUAACACCCCGACCCCAAAUUUCUCCAAAUUUAACCCUUAUUUAAUUAUUUAAUUAUUUAAGGGUAUUUUAGUCAUAUUUUUAACCGGAGAGAGUUUGGGACCGCGACUUGUAUUUUUGGAUAAGUCGUACUGAGACGAGUUCACAGACACGUAAUGGGCUCGAAUCGAAGUUGUAACGAGAGAGAUAUGGUCAAAAGAAGCCCAGUGGCAUAAUCGUAAAUAUUUUGAAAUGGAAUUUUUUUAUAAAAUCUGGUUUUCCUCUCUCUCUCUCUCUCUCUCUCUCUCUCUCUCUCUCCCGCGACUCCUCUCUCUCUCUAACGUCGGCCUCUCCUCUCUCUCUCUCUUCGUAACUCCGGCCACCGGCCGCGGCUGCGGACGGGGCCGGUGUCAAAAGAACCGGCUCGACCUCGGCGUCACGACCCAGCCCAUCCCCGCCAUCGGCCGCCGCUCCAGCCGCCGGAAAAUGGCGAUUUUCGCCCGGAUGUCGCCAGAACUUCAACGCCGUCAAUCUCCCUCCUCCGGCCACCAAUUCCGUCAACCCAGGUAUGGAUUUUGAACCUCUCGAGCUGCUCUAGCUGAUGGUUGGGUAGGAUUAGAUCGAUUCUUAGCGUAGGCAACUCAAUUUUUGAAUUGAAAAUCGGCCGAAACUUCGGCCGCCGUGAUCGGCCAUUUCUGGCCACUUUUUGGGGUAGGUCCAAGAACAAAAGUGGCUCCAAAUAGGGUGUUAUACCUAGGGUAGGAGUUUGGAGCCGUUGUUUUGAGAUUUUCCGGCGAAGCGUUAUCGCUUUGGGCACCCACGCGCUGCCGGCGCGUGCGGCGGCGCGUGGGCACUGUAGAAAAGUAGCACUGUGUUCCGAUGAGAUCCUUAGGUUGUCACGAGUGCGUAGGAUUUCGCGGAUCUCAAUUCGGACGUCGUUUGACUAUCGAACGGAUAUUCGCAUAUUGCGCGUUAUCCGGGUUCGAUAGGUUGGGACCGUUGGAUGGUCCCAAAUUUAAUGUAUGUUGAUCUAGAUAUUUCUAGGAUCGUGUAGGAUUUUACGGAUCGUGAAUCGGAGCCCCGGAUGUUCCGAAUAAUAAUUUCAAAGUUUAUAUUCUAUAUUAACCGUCAGAUCGUGCGAUCGUGAGAAAUCCGACCGUCCGAUCUGAACCAAACUUGCAGGACAAGUGUCCUAUACCUGGUAGAACCCAUAGAGACUUUCGGAUCGGAAAUUGGAGGUCGUGGGUUCUGCAGGUCCGGUUGACCAGGGUUAGAGUAUUUUGACCCUUGGUUGACCGUUAGUCUCCCGGAGUAAUCUCACCUUUUUAAGGGGGGAUUAUCGGGUGCUAGACCAUUGUGGAGGAUCACACAAUAUUAGAAUUUAUUUAUAUAAUAAUAAUUAUUUAUGGUUGUACAAGGGUACAACAGAGUCGAGAAUGUCAGUUUGGAGUGCUAUACGCACUACUUUAGGUACCUCCCCGGAUGUUGGAAUUACUACAAAUACCACCAAGUGAAAGUUAGGUCCCACGUGGCGUAGGUUAUUCGGUGUUGGGACAGGCCCCAUACGUGGCGUUGGUUGUACCGGCGUAUGGGGAGAGAUGUGAUAUGUUGUUCAGGUCUCACGUGGCGUAGGUUAUCCGGCGUUGAGACAGGCCCCGUACGUGGCGUUGGUUGUACCGGCGUACGGGGAGAUUAUGUGAUAUUGUGUUGAGGUCGCACGUGGCGUAGGUUAUCCGGCGUGUCGACAGACCCCAUACGUGACGUUGGUUGUACCGGCGUAUGGGGAGAUUUGCGAUAUGAUGUUGAGGUCCUGCGUGGCGUAGGUUAUUCGGCGUUGGGACAGGCCCCAUACGUGGCGUUGGUUGUACCGGCGUAUGGGGAGAUAUGAUGAUAAUAUGGCAUGGUCGCACGUGGCGUAGGUUAUCCGGCGUGUUGACAGGCCCCAUACGUGGCGUUGGUUGUACCGGCGUAUGGGGAGAUUAUAUGUAAUACAAAGAAAUGAAAUAAGGUAUCGCCCAAGUGUGGAAUUGGGUUUUUAGGGAAGAACUACGUGUGGCUUGAUCCCUCAAGGAGGGUACGUAGGCAGCCUAAGGUUAUUAGGUGCAGCCGCAGACUAAAUGUUAGUUAUAAUUUGUAUUUGAAUUGUUUGGUAGUUGGUUAAGAAUUAUUGGAAGGCCGAAGGCCAUUUGUGUGAAUUGCAUGAAAUUAUAUUGUGCAUGCUGCCAGUUGGGAAUAUUAAAUGUGUUUUCAUGCAGGUAUAAAUUUUGGGAAAUGUCCAAUUUAUAGGGGAGACUCUGCCGAAAUUUCGGCAGGAAGUCUCGGUUUUUAGUAAGUGGGCCUGGCAUCGGGGUGAUGUCAGGAAUUCUAAAGGGUUCGUCUCGGGUUUUGAGAAAAUUCGGGGCGGGUCCUUUCAAUUAAUUCAUAAAAUAAAUUGCUUGUAAAUAAAUUGCUGGUAUGUAUGAUAAUCCUGCACCAUACUUUAAAUAAAUGUAAAUGUACGGUAAAGUAAAUUCAUAAAUUAAAUUGCCUCAUGUAUGAACGUUAAUCUCGCACCAUACUUUAAAUAAUAAAGUAAACGUGCGGGUAUGAGCACUAAUUCAACUCCAUACUUUUAAAUAAAAGGCAGUUGUGUGGACGAUAACCCGCGCCACACCUUUAAAUAAAUAUUGUUGUAUGGGUAAUAAACUUACACCAUACAGUAAAUAAAGUAAAUACGGGGAUAAAAUCACCACUAAAAAUUAUAGGAGGUGAAACCAUCCAUUAAAGGCACAAUAAUAAAAUUAGUAUACACCAUUAACUUUUUCAUAAUAAUAUUAUAUAUUGUGGGAAAUAUAAUUGCGUCACUAUUCAAGAUAUAAUAAAAUGGGUUUUAAGAUCACACCAUCCUUUUUUGUUACGUUAAUAUGUGUUACAAUGUGAUGGGUAAUGAAAAUUACACCACCAUAAAAUAACAGGAUGAUGUAUAAUACCGCACCACUCCAAAUUACAAUACGAAAAAAUAAAUUAAACAAACAUGGAUGAAACAACAUAAAAAUUGUGAGAAUACAAAAAAGAAAGUUUGCAUGUUGUCGUAGUAGUAAAGUGAGAGGAGACAUAUGAUAGAGAGGAGACAGAGAAAUAACCACAUAGUCUUGAGCUAGAAAAUUUAGAAGUAAAAAGGAGAGACUAUCGUGCUGAUAACGUGUUGUAAAAUAAACGGGAUAUGGGAGAAUAUUGAGCUGCACGUAAAUUAAAUAAAACACAAUAUUUAACGAGGUUCGGCCUUGCCUACGUCCUCGGAGAGCAACAACAGUAACUUUUCACUAUGUAAAAUAAUAGAGAUACACUUUAGUGUUUACAAUAUAUGUGGCUCACUUAUAUUUCCCUCUUGGAGAAUUUCUCUCUGCUAUCUUUUUCUCUCAACUCACUCACCCUCUUUCUUUCCUUCUCUUCUUUCUUUUCUUCCUUUCUCUCCUCUUUGCCUGGGCUCUCUCUUCCUUCUCUGAUGGUUGGUGUGUCAUCUUACAAUAAAGGGAGGAAGUUCAUUUAUAGGCAAAGCCUCUUUGCUUCCUUUGGAUGUGAAUCAUUUCUUCCAAUAUAUGGAUGCCACUUCUUCAACAUUCUUCAUUAUUUCUAAAUAUGUGAACUCCACUCUUGACUUUACAACAUAAACAAGAUUUACAUGUAGUAUUUUAUGUCACGUUCACAAGAGAUGAUACAACUAUAGUUAAAAGGAUCUUCAAUCGAGAAGUUAAAUCCAUGGUGGAUCUUCCAGCUCUUUUUUUUAGUUUAUUUAUUGAAAUUUAUAACUUCAACCAAACUAUUUAAAUUCAUGAUAAAUUUGACAUCAAGUUGCUCAGCGUCAAAGUUGACGCUAGAAAAAAGCGAUGGCAAAUGUUUAUUUGUAAUACCUUUUUUAAUGACGGUGUGUAAUAGUAGUAACAUGUCCUAAAUCAUUUCUAAGAAUAUUUCUCAGCAAUGUUUUGGAGGUGGAAGAAGAGCUUCAAUGGUCUAGAGAUCAUGACCACGUGAUCAGAAUCGCUAAUCACUUUCACUUCAUCUGGUGGAUUGUUCCUGAUAAUGUAAUUCUGCACAUCCAACACUAUUGCCCGGUCUUGCCCAGACACAACGAAUACUCUACGAACCGAUCCAUAUUUCUCCUUGGUGAGCUUUAUUACAUCAUAAUUGAAGAGAGGAGAAAAUCUUAUCAAAGAGAACACUAGCGUUUUAUCCUGUUCAUUA